AGUGAACGCUGGCGGUAGGCCUAACACAUGCAAGUCGAACGGCAGCACAGUAAGAGCUUGCUCUUACGGGUGGCGAGUGGCGGACGGGUGAGGAAUACAUCGGAAUCUACUUUUUCGUGGGGGAUAACGUAGGGAAACUUACGCUAAUACCGCAUACGACCUACGGGUGAAAGCAGGGGAUCUUCGGCCCUUGCGCGAUUGAAUGAGCCGAUGUCGGAUUAGCUAGUUGGCGGGGUAAAGGCCCACCAAGGCGACGAUCCGUAGCUGGUCUGAGAGGAUGAUCAGCCACACUGGAACUGAGAUACGGUCCAGACUCCUACGGGAGGCAGCAGUGGGGAAUAUUGGACAAUGGGCGCAAGCCUGAUCCAGCCAUACCGCGUGGGUGAAGAAGGCCUUCGGGUUGUAAAGCCCUUUUGUUGGGAAAGAAAAGCAGCAGGUUAAUACCCCGCUGUUCUGACGGUACCCAAAGAAUAAGCACCGGCUAACUUCGUG
This 492-nucleotide ribosomal RNA is filed under the name uncultured bacterium. RNAcentral describes it as "partial 16S ribosomal RNA". It matches the Rfam family "Bacterial small subunit ribosomal RNA", at positions 29 to 507 of the family's 1533-position model. The record is from RNAcentral.